This 460-nucleotide ribosomal RNA is filed under the name uncultured bacterium. RNAcentral describes it as "partial 16S ribosomal RNA". It matches the Rfam family "Bacterial small subunit ribosomal RNA", at positions 338 to 795 of the family's 1533-position model. The record is from RNAcentral.
CCUACGGGAGGCAGCAGUGAGGAAUAUUGGUCAAUGGACGAGAGUCUGAACCAGCCAAGUAGCGUGAAGGAUGAAUGCACUAUGGGUUGUAAACUUCUUUUAUAUGGGAAUAAAAUGUUCCACGUGUGGAUUUUUGUAUGUACCAUAUGAAUAAGGAUCGGCUAACUCCGUGCCAGCAGCCGCGGUAAUACGGAGGAUCCGAGCGUUAUCCGGAUUUAUUGGGUUUAAAGGGAGCGUAGGUGGUUUGUUAAGUCAUUUGUGAAAGUUUGCGGCUCAACCGUAAAAUUGCAGUUGAAACUGGCAGUCUUGAGUACAGUAGAGGUGGGCGGAAGUCGUGGUGUAGCGGUGAAAUGCUUAGAUAUCACGAAGAACUCCGAUUGCGAAGGCAGUUCACUGGACUGCAACUGACACUGAGGCUCGAAAGUGUGGGUAUCAAACAGGAUUAGAUACCCGAGUAGUC